UAAUUCUAGGGUUAGAAUGAUUUUUCGAUUUGGGGGAAAUGAAGUUCGAUUUGGGAUUUAUGUGUCGUUUUGUUUCAACAGUAAACUGUGUCGUUUUUGAGAUAACAGAGGCAACUAACGACACUUAAACAGCGUUAACGUUCUCUGUUAAGCAACUUAACGACAUGUCUAAAAUGACUGGUCAACCGAAACUUUGCGAUUUAAAUUUAAAGUCAACAGAAACUUUGUGAUUUAUUUGUCUUCCGCGUAGUUGAAGAUUUAAUCGUCCCAAAUUUGAAAGUUCAUGUUUUUUUUAACAUUUUUCCCAUAGAUUUAUAGUGACUUUUUUU
Molecule: small RNA, 329 nt
Filed under: Arabidopsis thaliana (thale cress)
Lineage: Eukaryota; Viridiplantae; Streptophyta; Magnoliopsida; Brassicales; Brassicaceae
Description: ATSL044470
Source: RNAcentral